UUAAAACGAUACUUCCAUAACAUCCAAAUGGAAAUAAAGAUGUAGCCAAAUCCACAAAACUAAGGUCAACAAUGGCGGACCAGUUGCAUUGUACUGUAUAGAAACCAAUGAUUCUCGUUUGGAAAAAGACAAGGCACCCACAUCCUUUGACGAAACAGCACCACAUGCCUAGUUGACGGAGAGACUUGAGGUCAUCGACUUCGGCUAAAGGAUUGAAACACGAGUAUAAAUAGGAUGCAGGAGUCGAAGGAGAUGUCAUACUACAUUUGUUCAGUCAGUUGUGAGUGGGCUUGAAGAUGGUGAGAAAGGAGAAAUUGGUGAUUGCUGUUGCUUGGCUCCUGGUAAUGGCAUCCAUUAUCAUGUCAGCAAAUGCAACGGUAGGUGUUCGUCUGCAAUUAAUUGAGCGAGUGGUUCAACCCCAAGCUGGUUGUCGCUGCUGCUGGUUCAUUUGGAAGCCAUUAAUCCGCUGUGGAAAAGUAUGCUGUGAAGACGGAUGUUGCACUUGAUGCAUCCCAAACUUUCUUAAAACUCACCAGAUAAACAGAAAAAAGGAAAUGAAUAAUUAAUUGUAUGUUGGAGCAUCAUUCUGUAAGCAGCAGAAGCUUCUAAUGGUUUGAUUUCCCGAAUGCGGUUCUCUUUGGUUUCUGUGUUCAACAACUAAACUUUGCUUUGAUGGAUGUUCUAGGCAGAAAGAUGUAUCCAGGUUAAUUGAAAUAUUUUAAAGAGCAGUGCUACA
Molecule: long non-coding RNA, 736 nt
Organism: Carya illinoinensis
Lineage: Eukaryota; Viridiplantae; Streptophyta; Magnoliopsida; Fagales; Juglandaceae
Exons: 2
Source: RefSeq, a predicted model, not a curated record